GUGAAUCAUCGAAUCUUUGAACGCACAUUGCGCCCUCUGGUAUUCCGGAGGGCAUGCCUGUUCGAGCGUCAUUACAACCCUCAAGCCUGGCUUGGUGUUGGGCUUCUGUCCACUGGACGGGCCUGAAAAUCAGUGGCGAUGCCCCUCCAGCUUCAAGCGUAGUAAAUCUGUCUUCGCCUUGAGCAGUUGGGUGGUGCUUUGGCCAAGCCAACCUCCACAUUUUUGUUUUCUGGUUGACCUCGGAUCAGGUAGGAAUACCCGCUGAACUUAAGCAUAUCAAUAAGCGGAGGA
This 291-nucleotide unclassified non-coding RNA is filed under the name Helotiales sp. Its description in RNAcentral is "partial contains 5.8S ribosomal RNA, internal transcribed spacer 2, and large subunit ribosomal RNA". The stretch from base 1 to 71 matches the Rfam family "5.8S ribosomal RNA", at positions 84 to 154 of the family's 154-position model. Lineage: Eukaryota; Fungi; Ascomycota; Leotiomycetes; Helotiales. The record is from RNAcentral.